UACGGGGGGAGCAAGCGUUGUUCGGAUUUACUGGGCGUAAAGGGCGCGUAGGCGGCCUCCGCAAGUCAGUUGUGAAAUCUCCGAGCUUAGCUCGGAAAGGUCAACUGAUACUGCGGGGCUAGAGUGCGGAAGGGGCAACUGGAAUUCUUGGUGUAGCGGUGAAAUGCGUAGAUAUCAAGAGGAACACCUGCGGCGAAGGCGGGUUGCUGGGCCGACACUGACGCUGAGACGCGAAAGCGUGGGGAGCGAACAGG
RNAcentral lists this ribosomal RNA (254 nucleotides) under uncultured bacterium. RNAcentral describes it as "partial 16S ribosomal RNA". It matches the Rfam family "Bacterial small subunit ribosomal RNA", at positions 524 to 776 of the family's 1533-position model. The record is from RNAcentral.